RNAcentral lists this transfer RNA (91 nucleotides) under Muribaculaceae bacterium. RNAcentral describes it as "tRNA-Arg". It matches the Rfam family "tRNA". Rfam says of the family: Transfer RNA (tRNA) molecules are approximately 80 nucleotides in length. Their secondary structure includes four short double-helical elements and three loops (D, anti-codon, and T loops). The record is from RNAcentral. Lineage: Bacteria; Pseudomonadati; Bacteroidota; Bacteroidia; Bacteroidales; Muribaculaceae.
GCGGGCAUAGUGUAAAGGCAGCACACAGGCUUUCGGGGCCUGAAUGUCGGUUUCCAACCCGAUAGUGGGGGUUCGAUUCCUCCUGCCCGUG